CAGAAAUCUUAAAUGAUGACAAUUUCUAAGCAGUGCCCCCAAAUGAAUGGCAUGUGGCCAUCAGAUGUACCUAUCUGUUCCCGUAAAAAAAAAAUAAAAUAAAUCGGGUAAGAGCAGAGCAGCAGAAAUACCCCUAAAUCACUCAGAGAAGAAAGCUGUUCCUCAGCCAAUAACAGAUCCACGUUUGAAACUCCUCACUUUACUCUCUAAUCCUUUCCACGUAUUUCCUUCUGAAACUUUACCACCUCUUAGAUGCUUUCUAACUCGCUUGUUCUGAGGAUUCUAAGGGGCGGGUAGGGUAAAAGCAGCCAGCUGUUACAGUUCCCUGAUUGCACGUCGUCCCCAGGAGAUCUACUUACCUAGUGCCAGGUCUCACGGGGAAGUGAAUGCAGACCCAUAUUCCCUGGCCCGGGAGAGGGCAGGCAGCCAAUGCUAGAGCCGGGGUGCUCCUCGGCCUCUCCCCCGCUCCUCCUCUCCUCCAGGCCUGGCCUUCAAAGCCUUGUGCCUCCCCAACACGGAGACACUCCCUCGUCUCCCUCUCUGGCUCCCUCCCGUGUCAGCAGCCCUUGGUUCAGAGAAAACUCAGCAGAGUCCUGAGACAGACUAAAAGCAGGGACUAAAAGCAGGGACUAAAAGCAGGGAACACGACACAAGCAUCACCACCUACUUUGUGUUUGUAUCAAGCAUCGAUGGACCUGGGCGAUGCGAGGUUGGUGUACCCAUGAGUAUUGGUUAGAGACGGUUCUGGUCGCUUAGCCACCCAGCGUUCAUGACCAGGGCUCGGCCUUGGAGCCUCCCCGUCAUGAAAACUGACACAGCAGAUAUUUAGAAAAGUCAGCAUUGGUCUAAGAUGUCAUUGGCUUUCAGUUUCGAUGAUGUUUUAAGAACCUAUUUUUCCUAACAAGAUUUCUUUGAAAAUUAGGAAUAUCUGGCUCAGUACCGUGCACUAAUUCCAUCAGGCUCCUCUCAGAACAGAAACCCGACUGGCGGCACAUUUGCUUACUUGCUGUCUGAUUGCCGAGAAUCCUUGUUGAGUCCGGGGUGUGAGGCCGCUCGCCUCGUGCCCCCACUGAGCAGAGCCUGAUCUUUCCUUUGGUGACUUAAAGUAUCAGCCAGCCUCAUCUUCCCUCUGACGUCUCUUAAAGUAUCUGAAGAGAGACCCCAGUUUCUACUCCACACCAGCUCACUUCACACGAGACAUCUUACAGACCUCAAAGCUGUUAGUCGCACAAACUUCCUCUUUUGCAGAAGCUUAAGAAACGGUCCAAGAAGUCUUGUGAAAAUGCUUAAAAUGCAAAAACACACUAGGAUAAAUCAAAAGAGGAUAAAGAGGAUCAGAACUCUUUGUGGGUCUGCUGUAGAGAUCAAAACCACACAACCAGUUGAGCUGGUAGUGGUGGGUGGGCCACAGGAAUUGAAAGAGGCUGGUUUCUGAGAUAAGAGGUACCUUCUCACGGAAUGGUGCAGUCUGGGCUUCUGCAGGGGAUGCUCUCACAUCUCCCAGGUUCUGAUUUGGGUACAGUCCUCAAGAACAGCACCACCCUGUAGUGCUAUUCACCUUGACUUCAGAGGUUAAACCCAAUGCAGAGAUGGAGCUCAAAUCCUGUAAAAAGGAGUCUAGAAUACCAUUUUUAAAUAAAGAAGGGCAGAGGCAUUUCAUAGUCUGUGGAUCUAUAGGACCCAGAACUUUGGGGUUCAUUGGACUCUCACCCCAUUACACAUGACUUGUGCCAUCUUUGCUUGGCCUCAGACAAACGUAUCCAUGUGGUGCCAUGGAAGCAUUGCCUGAUUGGCAGGCCACCUUCUCUUCCCAUGGGGCAGUCAGAUCCAGUUCCAGGCAUCUGUACAUCUUAUUUCUGCUUCAAAAACCCACAGCAGCCACAUAGGUCACCUUGACUCUUGCUUCAUAUGCCUUUCUGCUAUGGACUGAACAUUUGUGUCCUCUCAAAAUUCAUGUGUUGAAAGCUAUCUCACAAAAGGAUGGUCUUACAAGAUGUAGACUUUGGGCAGUGAUAAGGUCACGAUCUUGAAGCCCCCACGAAGGGAUUAAUGUUCUUAAAAAGAGACCCCAGAGAGCCUACUCAUCCUCCCAUCAUGUGAGGACACAGCGAGAAGAUGCCAUGUAUGAACCAGGAAAGCCUCACCAGACAUGGAAUUUGCUGGCACUUGAUCUUGGACUUCUAGUCUGCAGACAGUAAGUAAUAAAUGUAUGUUGUUUAUAAGCCACCAAGUCUGUGGAAUUUUGCUCUAGCAGCCCAAAGAACAAUGACAAUUUCUAUCUGGAUGUUUCUGAUACUGGAUUCCAUCUACAGAACAUGAUUAACUGUUCAUUCUUCUUCAGGGACACAAAUUUACUGUCACAUGGGUUAAAAAUGGAUUCUUUCUCUGUAUAUCGAGAGCACUUGAAAGAUACUUUAUUAAUUGCCUUGCACCAUAUACUGAAAUGAACUGUUUAUAUGUAAUUUUACCCCAAUAAACAGUGAAGUUUUAGGAAUUCAUGUGUUUAUGUUUUA
This is a long non-coding RNA of Canis lupus familiaris (dog), 2513 nucleotides long. RefSeq lists it as uncharacterized. The transcript is spliced from 4 exons. NCBI's taxonomy places the organism in Eukaryota, Metazoa, Chordata, Mammalia, Carnivora, Canidae. The record is from RefSeq and is a predicted model, not a curated record.